Molecule: long non-coding RNA, 2324 nt
Organism: Drosophila sechellia
Lineage: Eukaryota; Metazoa; Arthropoda; Insecta; Diptera; Drosophilidae
Exons: 3
Source: RefSeq, a predicted model, not a curated record
UAUCAUUUUAUUAGCAUGCGGACUCGACUCAACUGCCAAGGUGGAGGCGUUCUCUAUCCCCACAGCCCCCCACCUCCCGCUCUCUUUCUGUAAAUAGCUUCCAUUGUGAUCAGCCACAAAAGCAAGACACGUGCACUUGCAACCAAACGAGGUGGGCUUAAUUUUCAGGACAAACUCGUGCGUCUCUAAUGCGAAUAGCGAAUACCCUGAUGAGCCACUUCUACAGAUAUAUUUCUAGAGAAUAUUUACGUUGUGACUUUAAACUAUGUCUAUUGCUGAUUUCACAAUCAUUAUCCCUUAUCAACUGGACAGAGUAAAUGCCGAAAAGCAGGGCAGACUGCCUGCAGUAUUUAGUAUGCAGUUACAGAUUUCGUGCUCGUUCGAGGCUCUCUAUGGGUCUCUGGGUCCCCGAGCUCGUUGCCCAACGUCCAGUGUUCCUGACUGCUGGUUCAGAAUUUAUGCAUAUGACCUUAGUUAUUGACAUAAUUUCGUGGCUGGCGGAUUGGGCACGAAACGAAAACGAAAUGCGCAUUAAAUGCUGGUUGGGGCCCGAAAGGGAAAGAGAGAUUCCGAUUCCCCGAUCCGCCGGCUUCUCGAUUGUGCGAAAUUUUCACGCUGCUUUGGACAAAUGCGCAAAUUUGUACGGAGGAGGGGGAAGGGGCUGCCGAGGCAGUGGAUCCGCGGAUCGGAUCAGGUGAUUAUCACGGCCUCCUCCUCGCCGGUGCAUUUGUCAAAUUUUCCACUUAAUCCGACGUCAGCCGUGCUCACAUGGAAAAUUGUCACAGGCUCGGGUAAAGUUAAGGCUGGUGGUAAAAGGCGCCCCACGGCGACUCAGCUCCAUUGAGCUCCUCUGGACCGCGGCGCUUUAAUUGGUCUUAUGAAACGGACAAAGUGCGAAAUGAGUUAUGCGCACGCGCGCACCCGCAGUUGAGUCCCAGUCCCCCAGUGCCCAUCCCACAAUCAGGUCUCCACCUCGAAGUCCAGCUCCAGAGCCGAUCUCUGAGUACGAAUACGAAUCCGAAUCCGUGGCCGAUAAUGAACGCAUGUGGGAAUUCGAAAAUUGGAUUUGGGUAUUGUGCAACCAGCUUGGAAGUUGGUAGCCAGUGACACAGGAAGAAAAAACUGAGCUGUUUGGCUUUGGACGCCACGAAGAUAAUACCAAUGUCAAUUCAGAUAAUAACCAAAGUAAAUAAGAUAAUAAAAAGUAUUUCUCCGACUGCAUCCACAUUAGGAUUUUUGCUGCUGCCGUUGCAGUUCCACAGAUGCAAAAGUGCAAAUACUACGAAUGCGAGUGUAAGUGUGAGCACGCAAAGUAUCUAUUAGCGUCGCCUUUGCGCGCUGAAGUCAAACGGAAUCUGUUUAGCAGUCGCUGUCUUUGGCGUUUCUGUUUCUGUUUUCCCCGUUCGGGUUUCGGCCAUCGCGAAUUAUCUGUUAAUUUGUGGCAAUUUAGAGAUUUGCAGAUACGAAGCUCACUCUGUGCAUUCAACGGCAGCUGCUGAUACGCGAAGUCAUUGGACAGAAGUCAGCAAGUGGCUAACCGAUAUGGAUGGUGGCUGAUCAUCACUGGCUGAUCGAACAGGGGAUUGCUUUUCCAGUCGGAGAAAAACCCGAGUUCCUGUCAAUGGAAAUUAUAAAAUCUUUUUGUUUAGGGGAUGAAAUCGAUUGACCGAACGCAGCAUACUGUAUACUCCAACGGCCAGAGGGCAUCCAUUUUGGCACAGACUGUCCCAGCUUUAAACUUGGCCCAGACUAAGCCACGAUAAAUUCCUGACCAGCAGAACUGAACUGGGCGCAAACAGCAAACCACAAACAACUCCGGAUGAAGAGGAGGGUUCGCAGAGGGGCUCACUCGCUCCCAAUACGCAUGCGCAAUUUUUCAAAAGCUUUUAACGUGAAGAGCCCAGAAAAUUACGAUGUAAUUUUUGUAAUUUCUGUAAUUGCCUAAUUCUGAUUAAUUUGAAUUGACGAACGGUGGAGCAGCGCAAUUGGUCUACGAGGGGAGAGGAUCUUCAAUUGGAGUCCGAGGCCCAACACGACUAUUUCUGCCAGUGCACUGGCAUGUGGCUCCAAUAAGCAUUCCCUCGUUACCUUCGGUGAUCUUUCUAGGUGCAGAUAAAAAAAUUAGGUGACUAUUAGGUGAUUGUUAAAUAAAAUAAAAUAAAUCUGUAAAUUAUAUAGAUGGUAAAUGCGAGAUCUUAAGGUAGGUUUAGGAACGCCUUGAUAUUUUUUAGCUGUGCACUGCUUUCGCACACUCACAUCCCGUGGCCAGUGGCCCGCUUCAGUUCGCUGGUUAACUUCCUCCAACUGCUCCCUCGCCGGCGGAU